Molecule: ribosomal RNA, 497 nt
Filed under: uncultured Glomeromycotina
Lineage: Eukaryota; Fungi; Glomeromycota
Description: partial small subunit ribosomal RNA
Rfam family: Eukaryotic small subunit ribosomal RNA
Source: RNAcentral
CCAAUAGCGUAUAUUAAAGUUGUUGCAGUUAAAAAGCUCGUAGUUGAAUUUCAGGCCUGGCUGGACGGUCCGCCCUUCGGGUGAGUACUGUCUGUGGUCGGGUCCUACCUUCUGGCGAAGCGUCAUGGCCUUAACCGGCCGUGGCGGGGAACCAGGACUUUUACUGUGAAAAAAUUAGAGUGUUCAAAGCAGGCAAUCGCUUGGAUACAUUAGCAUGGAAUAAUGGAAUAGGACAAUGGUUCUAUUUGUUGGUUUCUAGGACCGUUGUAAUGAUUAAUAGGGAUAGUUUGGGGCAUUAGUAUUCAAUGGUCAGAGGUGAACUUCUUGGAUUUAUUGAAGACUAACUACUGCGAAAGCAUUUGCCAAGGAUGUUUGCAUUAAUCAAGAACGAAAGUUAGGGGAUCGAAGACGAUCAGAUACCGUCGUAGUCUUAACCAUAAACUAUGCCGACUAGGAAUCGGGCGAUGUUGACAAAAUGACGCGCUCGGCACCUCAUG